This 468-nucleotide ribosomal RNA is filed under the name uncultured bacterium. RNAcentral describes it as "partial 16S ribosomal RNA". It matches the Rfam family "Bacterial small subunit ribosomal RNA", at positions 28 to 507 of the family's 1533-position model. The record is from RNAcentral.
GACGAACGCUGGCGGCGUGCUUAACACAUGCAAGUCGAACGGAAAGGCCCUGCUCUUGUUGGGUGCUCGAGUGGCGCACGGGUGAGUAACACGUGUGUAACAUGCACUUGUAUUUGGGGUAACUUCUGGAAACUGGGGCUCAUACCGGAUAUGAUCUCCUGCAGCGUGGGGUUGGUUGGUAAGUUUCGGCGGUUGGGGCUGGAAUGGCGGCUUCUCAGCUGGUUGGUGGGGUAGGGGCUUACCAAGGCUUUGAGGGGUAGCCGACAUGAGAGGGUGACCGGCGACAUUGGUACUGCGAGACGGCCCAGACGCCAACGGGAGGCAGCAGGGGGGAACAUGGCAGAAUGGGCGGAAGCCAGAGGCAGCGGCGCCGCGUGCGUGAUGACGGCUUUCGGGUGGUGAACCGCUGUCGCCGUUGACAAAGCGUGAGUGACGGUAAUGGGUAAAGAAGCACCGGCUAACUACGUG